GGGCUUUAAUCCAAGCAAGAUAUGAUAUAUAUUAAAGAUGUUGCGCAAGCAACUAUGGCGAUAAAUACUUUGUGUAAUAAACAUUGCGGACCCGGGGGCAGUACCCGGCGCCUCCACCAUAAAGCCUUUUAUAUGGGGGCGAAAUAGGUUUGACGGAUGUGGUAAAGACAAAGCGUUUGCCCGGCAUUGUACCGCCGUUAUCGGGCUACUUUAAAAAUGCCAACGACAAUCAUAGUCUGGCUGUAGCUGCCUAAUUGAAAGGCAAGCGCGCGGUUCUGGAAGGGCACCGGGCAACAGAAGCCCUUCCGCU
Molecule: transfer-messenger RNA, 310 nt
Filed under: Alphaproteobacteria bacterium
Lineage: Bacteria; Pseudomonadati; Pseudomonadota; Alphaproteobacteria
Rfam family: Alphaproteobacteria transfer-messenger RNA
About the family: Bacterial tmRNA, also known as 10Sa RNA or SsrA, is named for its dual tRNA and mRNA-like properties. Its role is to liberate the mRNA from a stalled ribosome.
Source: RNAcentral